GAUUUCAAGUUUCAAUAUAUCCUUUAAAAAGUAUGUAUACACAGAGAAGAUUAGCAUGGCCCCUGCACAAGGAUGGCACACAAAUUCAUGAAGUGUUACAUAUUUUU
This is a small nuclear RNA of Suncus etruscus (white-toothed pygmy shrew), 107 nucleotides long. Lineage: Eukaryota; Metazoa; Chordata; Mammalia; Eulipotyphla; Soricidae. The record is from RefSeq and is a predicted model, not a curated record.